This 497-nucleotide ribosomal RNA is filed under the name uncultured bacterium. RNAcentral's name for it is "partial 16S ribosomal RNA". It matches the Rfam family "Bacterial small subunit ribosomal RNA", at positions 28 to 507 of the family's 1533-position model. The record is from RNAcentral.
GAUGAACGCUGGCGGCGUGCCUAAUACAUGCAAGUCGAGCGGACGGACGAUAAGCUUGCUUCCCUGAUGUUAGCGGCGGACGGGCGAGUAACACGUGCAUCACCUACCUAUAAUACGUGGAUAACUUCGGAAAACCAGUUCUAAUACCACAUCAUAUGUUGUACCGCAUGGUUCAAAAGUUCAACACGCUCUUCCUGUCACUAAUAGCUGGAUCCGCGCUGCAUUAGCUAGUUGGUAAGGUAACGGCUUACCAAGGCAACGAUGCGUAGCCGACCUGAGAGGGUGAUCAGCCACACUGGAACUGAGACACGGUCCAGACUCCUACGGGAGGCAGCAGUAGGGAAUCUUCCGCAAUGGGCGAAAGCCUGACGGAGCAACGCCGCGUGAGUGAUGAAGGUCUUCGGAUCGUAAAACUCUGUUAUUAGGGAAGAACAUAUGUGUAAGUAAAUGUGCACAUCUUGACGGUACCUAAUCAGAAAGCAACGGCUAACUACGUG